GGGAAUGUGGCUUAAUGGUAGAGUGCUUGCCUAGCAUGCGUGAAACUCUAGGUUCAACUCCUCAGUGCCA
Molecule: transfer RNA, 70 nt
Filed under: Dipodomys ordii (Ord's kangaroo rat)
Lineage: Eukaryota; Metazoa; Chordata; Mammalia; Rodentia; Heteromyidae
Rfam family: tRNA
About the family: Transfer RNA (tRNA) molecules are approximately 80 nucleotides in length.
Source: Rfam by way of RNAcentral